Molecule: long non-coding RNA, 1255 nt
Organism: Esox lucius (northern pike)
Lineage: Eukaryota; Metazoa; Chordata; Actinopteri; Esociformes; Esocidae
Source: Ensembl
CUUUAGGACAGCCUGGCAAUCUAGCAAUUAAAACAUUUUGUAAUCAACAAUUACUUCACAGAUUCAAGUUUUGUUCCUACAAUCCACAAUAUUCUCACCUUGGCAUCUCUGCUUAAAGUUCCAGCCAUUUCACAAGAAGUUUAAGUUCCAUAUCAGACACAGUAGACCCAUAGUGGAUAUGUCAAGCAAAUUAGGUCUUCCACAGGUAUGUUCUCAGAACAUCUUCAAAGCCAGCCGCAUCUGGGGAUUAUUACAGUGGUUUCAGCAGUGUCAUCUGGGGGUUAUUACAGUGGUUUCAGCAGUGUCAUCAUGGGAUUUUUACAGUGGUUGCAGCAAUGUCAUCUGGGGGUUAUUACAGUGGUUUCAGCAGUGUCAUCGGGGGAUUGUUACAGUGGUUUCAGCAGUGUCAUCUGGGGGUUAUUACAGUGGUUUCAGCAGUGUCAUCUGGGGAUUAUUACAAUGGUUUCAGCAGUGUCAUCUGGGGAUUAUUACAAUGGUUUCAGCAGUGUCAUCUGGGGAUUAUUACAAUGGUUUCAGCAGUGUCAUCUGGGGAUUAUUACAGUGGUUUCAGCAGUGUCAUUUUGUGCACAAAAUUCAUCUUCAGGAAAAUCAUCAUUUCACUUAGGAUUCUCAUGGGUCUCCUAGGGGCUCACGUAUUGACCAGCUAUUUAAAUUAAUGAAUGUCUGUAGAUUUGAACCAGCCCUUGCUGAAAACAGGUCGUCUGUAGAUUAGAACCAGCCCGUGCUGUAAACAGGUCGUCUGUAGAUUAGAACCAGCCCUUGCUGUAAACAGGUCGUCUGUAGAUUAAAACCAGUCUUUGUUAUGGACACGUCUUGUGUGUGGAUUAGAACCAAUCUUUGAGCUAAAGUAAAUUUGGUACAGUACACAACUACACAAUUCAGAUUAUUGGAAUUGAUAAAGUUAAUGAUCAAUGAUCAUAGAACUGCAUCCAUAUCUCAGAUUAAAGGUUGGCAGAUUUUUUUUUUAGGAUUAUAGCUGUGUUGGUGUCAAUGUAUUCCAAUCAAAUCAGCAAUUGGAAUAUUUUUUUUGACAAGAAUACAAAAGAGUGGCACGCAUGGGCUGGCAAUACAAGUCACUGCCAACAAGAUAUAUUUAGUAGUAUUAUUAUUUAUUUUUUUAUCAAGGAUUGAUAUUUAGGGUUGCAUUGUGAGCCAUACUAAAGAGGACAUAACUUGACAGUAUACAAAAUAAUUAUGAUAACCCAACAUUUGAUUUAGUAAGAAAUAUAGAAAU